RNAcentral lists this transfer RNA (25 nucleotides) under Ecklonia radiata. RNAcentral's name for it is "partial tRNA-Ser". RNAcentral also lists the same sequence under 1 other name. The record is from RNAcentral. Lineage: Eukaryota; Phaeophyceae; Laminariales; Lessoniaceae.
GGAGAUGUUGCUGAGCGGUUGAAAG